AACGAACGCUGGCGGCAUGCCUAACACAUGCAAGUCGAACGAGACCUUCGGGUCUAGUGGCGCACGGGUGCGUAACGCGUGGGAACCUGCCCUUAGGUUCGGAAUAACUCCCCGAAAGGGGUGCUAAUACCGGUUAAUCUCUUCGCACCAAAGAUUUAUCGCCUUUGGAUGGGCCCGAGUUGGAUUAGCUAGUUGGUAGGGUAAAAGCCGACCAAGGCGACGAUCCAGAGCUGGUCUGAGAGCAUGAUCAGCCACACUGGGACUGAGACACGGCCCAGACUCCUACGGGAGGCAGCAGUGGGGAAUAUUGGACAAUGGGCGAAAGCCUGAUCCAGCAAGGCCGGGUGAGUGAUGAAGGCGUUAGGGUUGUAAAGCUCUUUUACCCGGGAUGAUAAUGACAGUACCGGGAGAAUAAGCUCCGGCUAAUUCCGU
This 432-nucleotide ribosomal RNA is filed under the name uncultured bacterium. RNAcentral describes it as "partial 16S ribosomal RNA". It matches the Rfam family "Bacterial small subunit ribosomal RNA", at positions 29 to 506 of the family's 1533-position model. The record is from RNAcentral.